GACAUAGGUGGCGAACGUUAUCCGGAUUUAUUGGGCCUAAAGCAUCCGUAGCCGGCCUUACAAGUCCUCCGUUAAAUCCAGCUGCUUAACAGAUGGGCUGCGGAGGAUACUAUAAGACUAGGAGGCAGGAGAGGCAAGCGGUACUCAGUGGGUAGGGGUAAAAUCCGUUGAUCCAUUGAAGACCACCAGUGGCGAAGGCGGCUUGCCAGAAUGCGCUCGACGGUGAGGGAUGAAAGCUGGGGGAGCAAACCGG
Molecule: ribosomal RNA, 253 nt
Filed under: uncultured bacterium
Lineage: Bacteria
Description: partial 16S ribosomal RNA
Rfam family: Bacterial small subunit ribosomal RNA
Source: RNAcentral